GACAGAGGUUGCAAACGUUGUUCGGAAUUACUGGGCAUAAAGCGCACGUAGGCGGUCCGUUAAGUCAUGUGUGAAAUCCCCCGGCUCAACCGGGGAAUUGCGCCUGAUACUGACGGGCUAGAGGUCGAUAGGGGUGAGCGGAACUCCAGGUGGAGCGGUGAAAUGCGUAGAUAUCUGGAGGAACACCGGUGGCGAAAGCGGCUCACUGGAUCGAAACUGACGCUGAGGUGCGAAAGCUAGGGUAGCAAACGGG
RNAcentral lists this ribosomal RNA (253 nucleotides) under uncultured bacterium. RNAcentral's name for it is "partial 16S ribosomal RNA". It matches the Rfam family "Bacterial small subunit ribosomal RNA", at positions 524 to 776 of the family's 1533-position model. The record is from RNAcentral.